AAGCUCGUAGUUGGAUUCAGAGGUGGGGUUGUGGGUCGGGUGUGGCCCGGCAGCUUGUCUCCGUGUGCCGCUCCCAAUCAACCCGCGUUUGCCCCAGCCUCCUAUCGCACGGAAACGGAGUCCUGCUGGGGUCUCCUUAACUGGGGGUUCCAGCGCUUCCGCGCACAACGUGCGCUUACGGACCGUCCGUGGACGUUACUGUGAACAAAACAGCGUGUUCAAAGCAAGUGGCUUGCCUGCCCUGCAUGUUAAAGCAUGGAAUAACAAGGCAUCGACCACUCGGCGGUGCUUUUGUUGGUCUUUCCCUCCCGGUGGGAAUGCGCAGGCGUGCACACUGCCGGCCUUCUGGCCGGUCUGGGUGCCGUCUCUUCGAGAUCAAUAGGGGCAAACGGGGAGAUACCUAUUGUGGGGAGAGCGGUGAAAUGCGAUGACCCCCAUAAGAGGAACUUCAGCGAAAGCAGUUCUCAAGACUGCCUUCGUUAAUCAAGAACGAGACUGUGGGGAUCAAAGAUGAUCAGAUACCGUUGUAGUCCACUAGCGUAAACGAUGCCGACUCAUCAUUGGGGGGGCAUCU
RNAcentral lists this ribosomal RNA (574 nucleotides) under uncultured marine eukaryote. RNAcentral describes it as "bacterial SSU rRNA". It matches the Rfam family "Eukaryotic small subunit ribosomal RNA", at positions 624 to 1066 of the family's 1831-position model. The record is from RNAcentral.